Molecule: non-coding RNA, 43 nt
Organism: Trichuris trichiura (human whipworm)
Lineage: Eukaryota; Metazoa; Nematoda; Enoplea; Trichinellida; Trichuridae
Source: Rfam
AAAAUCGUCCAAAUUCAAUAUAUUGCAAGGACUGCGUAGGCCU